UUUCUCAGUCUUUCUUAAAGAGAGAGAAUAGAAAGGUUAGGAAGAAAGAAGGGCCCCAGAGCAAAAAGGAGUAUGAGUCAGAGCUUUCAGCAGGCCCUGACUGACUGGGGUUUUCAUCUUUGAACACAAAAUGAAUAGAGAAUACUGAACAACCGGAGAAAUCAAGACCUACAUGCAAAAUAGCUGAAGAGGAUGAAUUUGGUAUGCGUGAUGGCAUCAUUUUUAAAGCUGUGAAAUAAAAUGUGACAAACCUCCAAAGAAACGCAGUCAUCCUUGUUUCAGCACUAAAUACUCUGUGGGAGUUGCAGCACUGAUUAACUUAUAGCCUGUGGAUUUCAAGGGCCCUUUUCUGAGUGUGACAGUGAGAGCUGUUGAUAAUGAGGUUAAACUUCACCAGGUGAUUCAAGAAAGCUGAACUACAGCUCUACCUUCUGCACUGUGAUCUGCCCCAUUCAAGGUCAACGGGAACAGGCGGACCUAGAGGAAAAGCAGCAAGCAUAAGCCUGCUUUUCCUUGCCCUGAUACAGAGCAGGAAAGCAGACUUUGCCCUCUUUGUUACAGUUUUUUUGACGCUGGCAUUGCUUAGGCAAGGAAGGUACAUAGAAAUCUCUUGUUGUUUAUUGGCAACCUGCGAACCUUUAUUGAUGGUUUUUGCUGAUGUGGACUCUGUGUGCAGAGAGCUCCGUAUCUUUCCAGGGCCACGGUGAAGCCAGGAAGCUCUGCACAAGAGGGGAAGUGCCCUGUGCUGAGAUCUCUGUUAUCACAGGGUCCGAGACACUGCAAGGAGUAGGGAUUAUUGGCUGCACGAGGGACACUGCAUUCAAACAUAUUUUGGCAAUAUGACAAAGCCUUGAAAAAACUGGUGCCAACUGUAAAGAGGUAACUGCUAAGAAGAAAAGAAUGGGGUGACUUCUAUGUGUUACCCAGCACAGCUCCAAAACCAGCCCAUCUAGAGACAAAUGUGCAUUUUUGGAGAAAGCUGUAGGUAAUCCAAAUCAUACACUCAGCUGUGCACUCCCACUCUGCUCUCAAAUUCCUUUCUGAAGCCAUGAGCAUGCAAGGAACUUAAAUACACUGUGGAGGAAUAAAUGCUGCAAUCAUUUAGAAGGGGGAAGAAAACCCACGGAGCAUGCUGAGCUGCUGUUCUCCAGCUCCUAUGUGUUCAUUUUUUCUCUGAAGCUGUUGCAUUGGCUUCCUCUGUUUUCUUCCUUUCCUUUCCCUGCCUGUCAAAGGAUGAAAUGAGCCCUGGUGAAGAGAAAAGUCUAUCUUUUAAGGCUCGGUUUUUGGUCUGAAGUGAGUUGUCAUUUCUGCUUAGUCUUUGUGGCAACCCUCUCUUCAGUUAAUUUCAUUCAUUAAAAAAAAUACAAUUUCAUUUCUGCUUAUUGAGUUUGUGUAAUGUUCGGUCUCAACUACUAUUUAGCUCAACAAAGAUAAGUUUUGUUUCCCAUGAUCACUGAUUAAGUGUUUGUGGAUACAUCAUCUUUUAUUUCCCUUGAGCUUCAUUUUAGCCCACCUGUACUGGAUGUGUGAUGUUUCCAUUUCCCUUGCUAAGCUCUUGCAGUCUUUCUGCCAAGCACAGUGAUGUAUGCAUAUGACAGAGCAGAAUGGAGCUGCCAAGCACAGUACUGUGGCAAAAAAAAUCCAACCCAAUUCCCUGCCUUUCUCUUAACCAGUAGGAGGCCUUUUAAACAGAUCUUUAAGUAUUUUUUCCUUGUUUUUUUUUUAUCUUUAAGUAACUCUUGUAGGUGGCAAAGGAAGUCCUUGUUUCUAUGAGGAUCAGUUUUGAGAGAGGAUGAAAAUCCCCACGGGCUCAGGGGCUGUCCUCCAUCUAUGGGCCUAGCACCUUGUUCUCAAAUGUGCAUGACGCACAAAGACCCAAAUACGAUUUGAGCUUCUUCCUUGUUGUCCAGCCCAGAUGCUACUUCCUGACAGCUCGAGGUUAAAAAGUGGAAUGCAGUUUGUAGCCAAGACAAGUACAGCCAAGUAGAGAAAAAUCAAAGGUCUUCUGUGCAGGAAAUGUGAAAUGCUGCGUGUUUCCUUUCCUAAUUAUAAAUAAUGAUUUCUGUGACCCCAGGUGCAUGAUCUCUUCUGAGUUAUAUAAAUAACACUUCUCAGCAGAAGCGAGGAAAUGCUUGCUUUCAGGGUGUGGGCAGGCCUCCAACACUGGCAGGAGGAGCAUCGCAGUAAUGUGGAUGAAAGCCAGCUUUCAGAAUUGGUGUGAGAAGCCCCUCAACCUGCAGGAGCUCGGGUUCUUCUGAAGCAGGUUUUGAGGCCACAGCUGGAAUACUGUGCUCAGUUCUGGGCUCCUCAGUUCAAGAAAGACAGGGAACUUACAGAGAGUGAGUCCAGGAGAAAGCCACAGAGAUGAUGAGGGGCCUGAAGCACCUCCCUUAUGAGGAAAGACUGAGAGCCCUGGGGCUGUUCAGCCUGGAGAAAUACGCAAGAGGGGGGUCUUAUCAAUGCCUAUAAAUACCUAAAGGAUGGGAGUCAAGUGGAUGGGGCCAGGCUCUUUUCAGCAGUGUGCAGCAACAAAACAAGAGGCACUUUGCACAAACUGGAACGUGGAAAGCUCUAUCUGAACAUGAGGAAAAACUUAUUUACCAUGAGGGUGACGGAGCACUGGAACAGGCUGCACAUAGAAACUGUGGAGUCUCCUUCUCUGGAGCUCCUCAGAACGUAGCUCUCAGCAAUCCUUAGUAACAUGCUCAGUGGUGGCGUGAAAGCAUUUGUUUCUAGAAGAGAUCCUGGUAACCAAUGAGGCUGAGGAGUGGUGCCUGACCUUUGGGCGCUGGUGCUCAGCCUGGCUGGCUGCCUGGCCGGGGGAGGAAGGGAAAGUUCUUCCCUGUAAACGCCAAUUUCAUGUCAGUGCCUUCUGUUAGCAUUUAGUUUGUUUGGCUAGAAACACGCAGCUCCAAAGCUCCUUUUGGCUCCUUUUCCCUACGCCACUCAUAGCUCAGAAUCAACACGUGACUUCCAUUUCACGGAUAAUGCAGCUGCUGCAUUUCCAAGUUUGCCUAACUCCCAGAUUUCCCCUUGUUUAACCUUGGGACUGCCUUGGGAUUUUCCUCAAGGCUGCCAAAGUCAGCUUCUCUUCCUCCUCUUCAGAACUUCCUCAAGCUCCACUGCUUAGGGACACAACCUCUCACUGGAUGCAACCCACAUGCUGCAGCUGUGCUUCCUGAGGGCCGCAGAGGGAGGAGCGCAGUGCUGGUAGGCGUCUGGGAGCGCCGGGGCUCUCACAGCUCAUUCAGGAUCCGUCCCGCUCAUCCUCCUCGGGUGCUGUGUCUGAUCAUUUUUCAUGGCAGGAGGGUCAACUGACACCUGUUCAAAUCUAGGUUUUAGGUUGCCGUUUGCUACAUGACCUGGUUCCUCCUGUGACUUUGGAGUAAUGUAUGCAACCUGAGCUUGACUUUUUUUCUAAAACCGCUCUGAUGAUACAAAGACCCUUCAGCCCGUGUUACUGCUAAUGUAGUUCCUUAUCAGCACGAACAACAGCAGAUACACAGGUAUCUUUGGUUUCCACCACACCACACGCCAAAACAAAAAUGAAAACCUACUGGCAGCCAGCAAGGCAAGCUUAAAACAUGAAGUGCAGAAAGGGGAGCAAAGCAGUCACAACUUUUGAAGGAAGGAGAUGUGAAUUGAACACACAAAAUGAAUGAGAGGCUGAAAUCUAAAUCUGCCGUGGCAGCUGCCCACUUUGAACUGCAUUUUUUCAUGGUGCGCUGCUCCAUUACACAGUAGGUUAAAUAACCACAAUAUAAGGUCAAUGGCCCAUCCAGGCAUGUGCUGAUUUCACACUCUACCGUUAUUAAUAGCCAAGAUUUAAUGGAAAUUACUCUUGUUGAUAUCUAGUCCCCCAAACAACCUUUAGAUCAUUUUGAUCUGCCUUGUUAGAAGAUGAUGAUCAUUGUUUCUGGUGAUUUUUUUUUGUUGUUGGAAAUGAGUCUCAUCUUUAAACACUAAGAGAUGAGUGCUGCUAUUUCUGUUGGUGUUCCUCUCUUUCAUGUUUUCUGGUGUUUGACAAGGUCUGCACAAGUAGAUGUGCAGGAAGGGGUAAGGAAUAGAUCCAUGAAUGGGUUGAACUCAGUGCUGGGUUAUAAAUGAAAAGGAAGAUUGAAGGAAGACAUUCGAGUAUUGUGUUUAGAAGCAUGUAAGUAGUAGGCCAGUGUGCCUGUCAGAAUCUGAGUGACAGAACUGUGUAUUCUGAUGAAUCUGCAUUUCAAAUUUGGACUCCCACCGACACUGCUCUGUAACCCAUGAAGUUUCUGUGGAGAGGGAGAACUCAGCCAUGUGCAGCUCUUGCUUAAGUGGAGGCCGGGGUCUGGCUUGGAUUUUGAUGGCAUAAGUUAUGCCUGCCUUUCAGAUAAAUCACAUCUCUCCAAGUACAGCAGCGCUGGAAAAAGAGCCCUUGGAUGACCCACUUGGAGUCUGAGACAUCAGAAGUGCUACUUCAGAAAAGAAAGCAGAGGAAGGCACCAGAAGCCAUGCAGAAGAGACACAUCUGGACUGUGUAUGGCAGAUUGCAGCAGAGCCCAGGGAAGGCAAUUAAAGACCCAGAUGAAGACCAGAACAUCAGACGUCCGUCUGGAGUCCAUGUGCCUGAAUUGCUGUUCCUCCCCACCCUAAUAUAAACAGUGAGGCUUGAAGACUCAAGCUGCAUGAGGGCAGGCAGGAGCUGCUCUCUUCUCACUGACCAUUUUGCUGUGACACGAGAAUGAACAUCAUGUAACCAGCGACCUACAGCCACAGCUCUGUCCUCCACAGCAUCCCCACCUUGUGCAGUGGCCAUGGCGCAGCAAAGCUGGGCAAACCAAGAGGGGCAGGGUCCAGCUGCAGGGAGAUGCAGUGAGGCAGCACAGAAGUUCACCCACCUUCAAGUGAAAAGGGAAACCGGUGGUGGGAAGGGCAUGAGAGGAGCGAUGGCAUGAUGGGGAUGGGUAUAGCCGCCAAGGCUGGACGAGGGUGGGGAGGAAAGGCAGCUCCUGCAUCACCAGCCCCAGCUCUAGCACCAAACACAAGCAUGAGCUGUCACUGCUGUGGAAUGCAGCAGAUGGCCAAAUUGUUAGAUUCUCCCUUGCAAGAGCAAAAUGAUAUACUGUUUUUUACCAUCCUUGCCUGGAGCUGAGUGCUAGCUUCACAUACUAUGAAGAUAUACUGUACAAAGGUACUUGGUGCCAGAAAUGUGCUCUAGUGAUAAUCAGGAGAAAACUGUGCUUAAAGUGACAUUUAAAAAAUAAUUAUUAUGGCCCAUUGCUGUUAGUCACACAUCCCCAAAGCUGAUCUGGCUAACAGAGCUCUCCAAAGCAUUCUUGCUUGAUAUGUCAUCUGGAAAUUAUGCCAUCACGCUGUCACUGUGUCUUGCCUUGCAAUCACCCGGACACUAUCUAUACGCUCACACACAUCAUUAUUUUUUUUCCUCUUUUAGGGGGAAAGAAAUUCUUUUCCUUUCUCUGUAUCUCACGCUGCUUUGGCUGCUUUCAUACUGCUGCUUGGCUCAGCCAUUUGCUGGAGAGAAGAGGCCUUACUGAAGCAGAGCUGGCUAUGAAGCACCAUGAUCCCACCUCCCCUUGCUUGAGGCCUCAGCCAGCAGCACUGCUCGGCUCUGAGUGCCCUGCAGCAGCUGAAGGCUCUGCAGAACCCAGGUCUGUGUACACAUGCUGCAGAGCUCACCUGCGUCAUACUAAUAUCAGGUGCUUGAAACUCUAUAUUGGAGGCACAGGGCUGUGAGUGGCAAGUCAUUGCAGCAGGUGUGCUUUGCCAGCUCCAGCUCUGAGCUGGUGAUAAGGGAGAGGGGGGAGGCUCUCAAAAGGGACUGAAGCAGGAGAGAAAACUCAGAGUGGCUUGUAAGUCUGCUUAUGGAUCCUUCUCAAUGAAUGCAGAACCCAGGGCAAGGCUCAACACGGUCUGCAAUCAAGUGAAUGGUAGAUCAUUUUCUUGUUGAUGUUUUUUGUGUUCCACUGGAUAUGUUGUUUUAAGGAUUGUUGUCUGCUGAAUAUGUGGUGCGCUCUCUCUUCCUGAUAAUCCUUUAAAAUUUGGACGUGUUUUGUUUUCUUUAUAUGAAAAGGCUUUAGCGGGUCAUCUGUAAGCUUUGUUUCCAAAGGUGUUAGGAUGGCUUAAACCUUCAUUACAUCCUACCUUUCCUUUGCUGCCCAUCUUCAGAACGCUCCUGCCAGUGUCACAGUGGUUUGUGAUGCAGCAGCAUGUCCUCCCUCCUCUCCUUCCACUUUUUUCCAUCAGUUUGCUCAGAAGCUCCUGCUAAGCGCCCCACAGCCAUGACACACUGGCCUACCAGCAUCUCAUCUCCAGUGAAACCUCCAGAUCUCCCCUCUGAGGACCCCAUUAACGUCAUCUCUGAACUUGCUCCUUUGUUUCUCAGUCCUUCCUCCUUUUGCUUAUUUUGUCUUGUUCUUGGAUGGUUCAACUCUGCUUCCUUCUUCCAGGAGCUUGUCUGGCUCCUGGGUCCAUUUCCUAUCUUCCAUUAGCCAAACAUUCCCUCUCUCAUUCUGUCCAAUCUAACCCAAAUCCCCAUCUUCUUUCCUGGUGAAACUAAACUUUCCCCAGCCAGACAACAAGGGGAUUCUUUUCUGUGCUGAUGUGAAGGCACACGUAGGCUAGGAAAACACAUUAAAACACACAUUUCUGAACUUACACUUAAAGCUGUUCAAGGAAUAUAUGCAAGCUGCAGGCUAUUAGAACAGGUAUGGGGUCUAGCUUUCUCCACUGCCUUGCACUCUCAUGUCAUCGCUGUUUAUGUUCAAGUUGCUUUUAGCAUCUUUACGUUCCUGCACAUGACAAACAAUAGGGAACAGCUCCCAUACAGCACAGGAAAUAUAGCAGCAAGUGUCUCACAUCCAUUUUUCAUCUGUCAUCAAAUAGCUUUUAUUCAUGGCAUAGCACAAGUGUCAGCCAACUGGCGAAGACAGCCUGUAUUAAAAAUGCUGGGGAUUAUUCAUGUCAUCAGGCACAAGGGAGCUUUUCUCGGUUGGCGGACCUGCAGCAGCAGCACUAUGAAAAUGCAGCAGGUCCUCCAGAGUAAUCUCAAAUCUGAAUAACUUCAGAAAGAGGCCAACAACUGAUCAUCGUUUCCAAGCACAAUUAAAAAGAAAAUCUAGCACAAUUAGAUGAGAGCUUGGGUAUAGAGGCUGAGCUGUGGGUACUCGGGAAAGCUUGUAUAAGAAGCAUGUUAUAUAGAAAGACUAAGGUGAUGUUCUUAUAACAGUGCUCAGAUUGAAGAUGGUCUGCAGGCUGUGAGCUGGUGCUGUCUUCUGGAGUUGGCUCCUGGUUACGUAAUUAUCAGGUAGGCAGGGCCUCAGCCCCUCUGACUGCAGGCCUUGUCUGCUCGCACAUAUUGGGAAUGUGAUCUGCACUGGCCAAGUGAUUUGUCUUUUAUGGACAAGGUAUAAUUUAGAAAUCGAUAAUUCUUUCUCCUUUUUAAUGAUUAUUUUUCUAAAAAGCCCUGUUUCACUGAAAAUAUCUGUUCCUAUAUUUGUGAGACUAUUACCAAGGAGAAACAGAAGAAUGGACACAAACAAUAAAACUGCUUACCUUAA
Molecule: non-coding RNA, 7553 nt
Organism: Coturnix japonica (Japanese quail)
Lineage: Eukaryota; Metazoa; Chordata; Aves; Galliformes; Phasianidae
Source: RefSeq, a predicted model, not a curated record